This is a non-coding RNA of Acanthosepion pharaonis, 96 nucleotides long. Lineage: Eukaryota; Metazoa; Mollusca; Cephalopoda; Sepiida; Sepiidae. The record is from the annotation of a GenBank genome assembly.
CGAAACACAGCUUCCUGUACGAUCACCGAAGUUAAGCAACGUCGAGCCUGAUCAGUAUCUAGAUGAGUGACCGCUUGAGAAUACCUGGUGAUGUAA